CCUACGGGGGGCAGCAGUAGGGAAUAUUGCUCAAUGGGGGAAACCCUGAAGCAGCAACGCCGCGUGGAGGAUGAAGGUUUUAGGAUUGUAAACUCCUUUUUUUAGAGAAGAUUAUGACGGUAUCUAACGAAUAAGCACCGGCUAACUCCGUGCCAGCAGCCGCGGUAAUACGGAGGGUGCAAGCGUUACUCGGAAUCACUGGGCGUAAAGGGUGCGUAGUCGGGGUAAUAAGUCAGAUGUGAAAUCCUGUAGCUUAAAUCCAGAACUGCAUUUGAAACUGUUACUCUGGAGUGUGAGAGAGGUAGGUGGAAUGCGUGGUGUAGGGGUAAAAUCCAUAGAGAUCAAGAAGAAUACUCAUUGCGAAGGCAGCCUGCUGGAACAUUACUGACGCUGAUGCACGAAAGCGUGGGGAGCAAACAGGAUUAGAUACCCGUGUAGUC
This 440-nucleotide ribosomal RNA is filed under the name uncultured bacterium. RNAcentral's name for it is "partial 16S ribosomal RNA". It matches the Rfam family "Bacterial small subunit ribosomal RNA", at positions 338 to 795 of the family's 1533-position model. The record is from RNAcentral.